GUGGCGAACGGGUGAGUAACACGUGGGUAAUCUGCCCUGUACUCUGGGAUAAGCCUGGGAAACUGGGUCUAAUACCGGAUAUGACCUUUCACCGCAUGGUGGGGGGUGGAAAGUUCCGGCGGUAUGGGAUGAACCCGCGGCCUAUCAGCUUGUUGGUGGGGUAAUGGCCUACCAAGGCGACGACGGGUAGCCGGCCUGAGAGGGUGACCGGCCACACUGGGACUGAGACACGGCCCAGACUCCUACGGGAGGCAGCAGUGGGGAAUAUUGCACAAUGGGCGCAAGCCUGAUGCAGCGACGCCGCGUGAGGGAUGACGGCCUUCGGGUUGUAAACCUCUUUCGCCAGGAACGAAGCGCGAGUGACGGUACCUGGAUAAGAAGCACCGGCUAACUACGUGCCAGCAGCCGCGGUAAUACGUAGGGUGCGAGCGUUGUCCGGAAUUAUUGGGCGUAAAGAGCUCGUAGGCGGUUUGUCGCGUCGGCUGUGAAAUCUGGAGGCUCAACCUUCAGUCUGCAGUCGAUACGAGCAAACUUAAGUGUUGCAGGGAAAAUGGGAUUUCUGGGGGAACGGUGGAAUGGCCCAAAUAUCAGGAGAAACACCGGGGGCGAAGGCGGUCCUCUGGCCCAAUACUGACGCUGAAGAAGCGAAAGG
This 652-nucleotide ribosomal RNA is filed under the name uncultured Pseudonocardineae bacterium. RNAcentral's name for it is "bacterial SSU rRNA". It matches the Rfam family "Bacterial small subunit ribosomal RNA", at positions 95 to 760 of the family's 1533-position model. Lineage: Bacteria; Bacillati; Actinomycetota; Actinomycetes; Pseudonocardiales. The record is from RNAcentral.